AGUCCUGUUGUAAAUUCAGAAUCUGAGCAGUGGUCAUUUUAUGAAUCAGUAAAUUACUGCCUUACCCAUAACAACUUUGACUGUUAAAUGUUUUGUUUUCUUUUAAAGCCCAUCGCCGAAGCACCAUUCAAGUUCGACAUGGAAUUGGAUGACUUGCCUAAGGAAAAGCUCAAAGAACUAAUUUUUGAAGAGACUGCUAGAUUCCAGCCAGGAUACAGAUCUUAAAUUUGUCAGGACAAGGGCUCAGAGGACUGGACGUGCUCAGACAUCGGUGUUCUUCUUCCCAGUUCUUGACCCCUGGUCCUGUCUCCAGCCCGUCUUGGCUUAUCCACUUUGACUCCUUUGAGCCGUUUGGAGGGGCGGUUUCUGGUAGUUGUGGCUUUUAUGCUUUCAAAGAAUUUCUUCAGUCCAGAGAAUUCCUCCUGGCAGCCCUGUGUGUGUCACCCAUUGGUGACCUGCGGCAGUAUGUACUUCAGUGCACCUACUGCUUA
RNAcentral lists this non-coding RNA (491 nucleotides) under Pan troglodytes (chimpanzee). RNAcentral also lists the same sequence under 1 other name. The record is from RNAcentral. Lineage: Eukaryota; Metazoa; Chordata; Mammalia; Primates; Hominidae.